Molecule: ribosomal RNA, 388 nt
Filed under: uncultured bacterium
Lineage: Bacteria
Description: bacterial SSU rRNA
Rfam family: Bacterial small subunit ribosomal RNA
Source: RNAcentral
GACGAACGCUGGCGGCGUGCUUAACACAUGCAAGUCGAGCGGUAAGGCCCUUUCGGGGGUACGACGAGCGGCGAACGGGUGAGUAACACGUGGGUGACCUGCCCUCAGCUCUGGGAUAAGCCUGGGAAACCGGGUCUAAUACUGGAUAUGACUCCAUGACGCAUGUUGUGGGGUGGAAAGCCUUGUGCGGCUGAGGAUGGGCCCGCGGCCUAUCAGCUUGUUGGUGGGGUGANGGCCUACCAAGGCGACGACGGGUAGCCGGCCGUGAGAGGGUGUCCGGCCACACUGGGACUGAGAUACGGCCCAGACUCCUACGGGAGGCAGCAGUGAGGAAUAUUGGUCAAUGGCCGAAAGGCUGAACCAGCAACGCCGCGUGAGGGAGUGAAGA